UUUUUUAGUAGCAGCAUUCCCCUAUAAUCUUAGUAUGCAAUAUAUCCUGUGAGUAUAGAUUACAUCUAAACCUCUAUCUUCUGCUUCUUUUAGGGGCUUAAGAAAGCCUUUUAGUUAGAGAGUUAGAGAAACUGCUGUUAUAGGUAGUCGACUAAUUAUUGUAUGCAAGGGGUAUAGAGGAUAGAUAGCUCUUAUUAGUGGCUUAUAGAUUAGAUAGAAGAGAAGGAAGCUAGGAAGCGACGGGGACAGUCCUGAUUCGGCUGUUUCUAGGGCUUUAUAUAGGGUUUAAAGGUAGAAGUGGAAUAUACCUCUUAGGGGGAGAAGAUGAUCAUCUAGCUAUAGCUCUUAUUAUAUUAGUUGCUUUUUAGUCUUCACAUGAAAGGUGCUAUUAACUAUUAAGAAGAUCAAAAAGAUCAGUACAAGCAAGACUUUCAUGUUCUAUCCUAUUGUUAUCCCAAGAGCGCAUUCUAUUAUAUGAAUUGAAAAUAGUAAGUAAGACUAAUUCGAGUAAGCAAGUAAAGCCCUUUUCAACUUCAACUGUUUCAAACGAAAAUCUUUACAAUUUUUUUUGAUACUUUUGGUAUAAAGCCCAAGGUAGUUUUAACUGUCAUAAGCAAGUCCAGUGCUAUCGGUUAAACAUGCCUCUUUCGCCGUCACCCAUGGUACCAGUUCAUAUUUGGUUACCCGAAGCUCAUGUAGAGAAUAGAACUUGAACGAGGCCUUCCCGACUUUACUUUCUAAAGCCCCUUAUCAGGCCUUACCUUCUCAAGCAAGCCUUAUCAGGCCUUACCUUCUCAAGCAAGCCUUAUCAGGCCUUACCUUCUCAAGCAAGCCUGAACGACCUUACUGUCUCAACCCUGACUGACAACUAGCUUUACUUGAUAGAAUUGCCUUCCAUGCCCGGUUCAGUUCGCCCUUGGGUUUCAAAUUCCUUGCCUUGCCCUAGCUUCCAGAAAAAGAAGUAAACUGCUUCUUAAAAGCCAGGAACUUUUGAUAUUCUGCCUUAAUCUUAAGAAAAUCCAACUCCAUUGAAGGGGAACGCACAUACUACACCCAUUAAAGCCGCUGACUAGUUGUCUUAUAUUGAACAGCUUGAAAGUGAAAGGGCCCGAUGGCUUGAGAUUCCUUUUGUAUAGCCAAAAGAGAAAUCAAAUUACUUAUUUGAAACUGAUUACUUACAUACUGGUUAAACUCUACUGGUGUUUAUGCACCAGAAAUCUCAUUCCCGGAAUUCUCUGUAUCUGUAAGGGGGCACUGGGACUAGAUCCCUUCCUCACUUCACCACUCUCAAAAAAGAAGGGAUUCAAGUGGGGACUGCAAAGGAAACUAUAUAUAAAAGGCUGACGGAACUUCCAUUCAAGGGAACUAGCAAUAGCUGCCUGCAUAGGCUUGUCCUUUUCUGAAAGGAGAUCCAUGGCUGUAACAGACUCAUAGAUUGAAUUAGCCCUUGGAAAGGAAGAGGAUAAUUAUAAAGCUUGAUCACUCGCUUGCGAACUUACUGCAUAAAGGAAUUCAAAAAGAGCUACUAGACUUUAUGAGUUAGAACAUUAGGAACCUUACACCCAUAUGAAAGAAAGCAGCCAAAACAGUAGAGAAGAUCAGAGACGGGUUUAGCGAGAAAAGUCUUUAGCUCACACCUAUCUUUGAUAAAAGAAGCCAAAAAUAAAGUUUAGGUAGAAAGAACAGCCAG
RNAcentral lists this long non-coding RNA (1690 nucleotides) under Ricinus communis (castor bean). RNAcentral describes it as "long non-coding RNA (RCOM_LNC003445)". Lineage: Eukaryota; Viridiplantae; Streptophyta; Magnoliopsida; Malpighiales; Euphorbiaceae. The record is from RNAcentral.